AUGGCCCCGCGGGUCCUGGAUCUGGUUCCGGUCGUCGGUCCGGUACAGAUCUGGAACUGAAGCAGGACUGCAUGGCUGAUCCUUAAGUACCUCCUGGGCGUGGCUAAGGAGUUGAAGUUUGGAUUCUUUGGCCUUCCUGCUCCAAGUGAUAAAGUCUUCUUAAUGUCAGAUAAAUACAUACAAAGAUUUUGC
Molecule: non-coding RNA, 192 nt
Organism: Pantherophis guttatus
Lineage: Eukaryota; Metazoa; Chordata; Lepidosauria; Squamata; Colubridae
Source: RefSeq, a predicted model, not a curated record